This 274-nucleotide ribosomal RNA is filed under the name uncultured bacterium. Its description in RNAcentral is "partial 16S ribosomal RNA". It matches the Rfam family "Bacterial small subunit ribosomal RNA", at positions 523 to 796 of the family's 1533-position model. The record is from RNAcentral.
AUACGGAGGGUCCGGGCGUUAUCCGGAAUCAUUGGGUUUAAAGGGUCCGUAGGCGGGAAUCUAAGUCAGUGGUGAAAUCUUGCAGCUCAACUGUAAAAUUGCCAUUGAUACUGGAUUUCUUGAAUUAGUGUGAAGUGGUUAGAAUGUGUAGUGUAGCGGUGAAAUGCAUAGAUAUUACACAGAAUACCAAUUGCGAAGGCAGAUCACUAACACUAUAUUGACGCUAAGGGACGAAAGCGUGGGGAGCGAACAGGAUUAGAAACCCUAGUAGUCC